Molecule: ribosomal RNA, 630 nt
Filed under: Aspergillus lanuginosus
Lineage: Eukaryota; Fungi; Ascomycota; Eurotiomycetes; Eurotiales; Aspergillaceae
Description: partial 28S ribosomal RNA
Rfam family: Eukaryotic large subunit ribosomal RNA
Source: RNAcentral
CCUCGGAUCAGGUAGGGAUACCCGCUGAACUUAAGCAUAUCAAUAAGCGGAGGAAAAGAAACCAACCGGGAUUGCCUCAGUAACGGCGAGUGAAGCGGCAAGAGCUCAAAUUUGAAAGCUGGCCCCUCCGGGGUCCGCAUUGUAAUUUGCAGAGGAUGCUUCGGGCGCAGCCCCCGUCUAAGUGCCCUGGAAUGGGCCGUCGGAGAGGGUGAGAAUCCCGUCUGGGAUGGGGUGCCUGUGUCCGUGUGAAGCUCCUUCGACGAGUCGAGUUGUUUGGGAAUGCAGCUCUAAAUGGGUGGUAAAUUUCAUCUAAAGCUAAAUAUUGGCCGGAGACCGAUAGCGCACAAGUAGAGUGAUCGAAAGAUGAAAAGCACUUUGAAAAGAGAGUUAAACAGCACGUGAAAUUGUUGAAAGGGAAGCGCUUGCGACCAGACUCGCUCGCGGGGUUCAGCCGGCAUUCGUGCCGGUGUACUUCCCCGUGGGCGGGCCAGCGUCGGUUUGGGCGGCCGGUCAAAGGCCUCCGGAAUGUAGCCCCCCUCGGGGGGCCUUAUAGCCGGGGGUGCAAUGCGGCCAGCCUGGACCGAGGAACGCGCUUCGGCUCGGACGCUGGCAUAAUGGUCGUAAACGACC